Non-coding RNA from Coemansia sp. RSA 2708, 73 nucleotides. The record is from the annotation of a GenBank genome assembly. NCBI's taxonomy places the organism in Eukaryota, Fungi, Kickxellomycota, Kickxellomycetes, Kickxellales, Kickxellaceae.
GGGAUUUUAGCUCAAUUGGGAGAGCGUACGACUGAAGAUCGUAAGGUCCCGUGUUCGAUCCACGGAAGUCCCA